This 4729-nucleotide long non-coding RNA is filed under the name Podarcis lilfordi (Lilford's wall lizard). Lineage: Eukaryota; Metazoa; Chordata; Lepidosauria; Squamata; Lacertidae. The record is from RNAcentral.
GUUCAGUUCUGUUCCAGCUUACAAAAUAAAGAGCUGCUUUAGAGAAAUCGCUGUGUCGUCUGCUAUGUCAACCCACAACUUAACACUGGCGACGAGGAUGGGAUUGAUGGACAUCAGAGCACAGCCAGAUGCGGCCAGCCUCUGAACUGAGCUGAAUCACAGAGCUGAAUCACAGAGCGAAAUCACUGAGCGAAAUCACUGGACAGAACCAAUUCAGAGCUGACUGUUCUGGCUAGAGCACUGUGUUCCAUCCAUCGCCCUUCACGCCGGCAUCGGAAUCAUGGCUUCACUUGUGCCUCUACCGCCGUUUGCGCCAGCCUCUGAAUCGUGGGACUCCUACCUUGCUCGGUUCGACUGCUACCUCCAAGCCAACGAGCUGACUGCAGUAUCAAAGGAACGGAAGCGGGGCCUAUUCCUCAGCCUCUGUGGGCCUGAGGUGUUUGAGACGGCCCGAGCAUUGGUUGCGCCUGAAGCAGUCCAGGCAACACCAUGGGACACGAUCCAAGAGAAGCUCCGCAACCACUACGCGCCAAAGCCGUCCAAGAUUGCUGCCCGCCAUGCGUUUUACCACCGGAACCAGGCAGAGGGGGAGUCAAUCAGCAACUACACCACUGCCCUCAGACAGGCUGCAAUGCACUGCGAGUUCCGAGACUUAGACGAUGCCCUGAUGGAUCGAAUCGUCUGCGGGGUCCGGGACAUCCAUCUGCAACGGCGUCUCCUUGCCAAGCCAGACCUCACGCUACAGAAAGCCAUUGAGGAGGCUGUGGCCUCAGAAGCUGCUGAACGCUCCGCCCAGGAGAUCCGCAAGUCCAGCAGCCCGCGUCUUGCUAGGAAGCCAGUUCCAGUGCAUCAUGAAAAGGCCAGCAGUGAUGAGGCAUCCUCCAGUGAAGACGAUGAUGUGCACCAGACAAAGCGGGAGCACAGGAAGUUCCAACAGAAGUCCAAGGGCCAACCAGAAUGUGCCGGCUGCGGAGGCAACCAUUCCCGUGCCAAGUGUCGAUUCAGAGACGCCAUCUGUAGGAAGUGUUCCAGAAGGGGCCACAUCACUAAGGUCUGCCGAUCGGCUCCGUCUGACACUCCCCCUUCACCGACUCGCAAGUCCAAGUCUUCACUCCAGUCUGCCAAGGAAAGCUGUUUCGCUCUCACCAACUGCCCCUGCCCGUCUGGAACCACGAUUGGCCAAACCGACUCGCCUACGCGACGCAAGCAUAACGUCACGGUGCUCAUUGAAGGAGCUCCAUGUGACAUGGAGAUCGACACCGGGUCUGCCCUGUCCAUCGUGUCUUGGAGCACCAUCAAAAGACUGGUACCCAGAGUGUCCAAAAGGCAACUCGACUCUCACCGCGUACACCUGAGAGACUACCAGGGAAACGACAUUCCCGUGGUAGGCGUUGGCCGGUUCCGGAUCGCCUUCAAGGAUUUUUUGGGCCUGCUCCGGUUGGUGGUGGUCGAAGGUCAGCGGCCAAGCCUCCUAGGGCUAGACUGGUUUGAUGCCCUCGGCCUGGAAGUCACCGGCAUCAACUGCAUCUCUAACGCAGAGACUGAGGGUCUGGUCAAAGACUUUGCCGAGGUUUUUGACGGCACUUUGGGGCAAUAUACAGGUACGCCCAUCUCCUUUAGCCUUGAUCCACAAGUCGCCCCCAUCAAGCUAAAGCCACGCCGGGUUCCCUUUGCUCUCAAGGCUAAGGUGGACGAACAACUGGACAAGCUGAUCGCCCAAGGAGUUUUGGAGCCGGUUGACCAUGCCAAGUGGGAAACCCCCAUCGUCAUGCCUGUCAUGCCAGAUGGCUCGGUGAGAAUCUGCGCUUACUAUAAGUUCACGAUCAACAAGGCACUUCAGCAGCACGCUUAUCCGGUUCCUGUUGUCCAACACCUGCUGCAUUCCCUGGGUGAGGGUAAGGUCUUCGCUAAGCUGGACCUUGCCCAAGCCUAUCAACAACUGCCCGUCGAUGAUGCCACUGCUGAAGCCCAGACGAUCGUCACCCACCGAGGGGCAUUCCGUUGCCGCCGGUUGCAGUUCGGGGUGAGUGUGGCUCCUGGCAUCUUCCAAAGCCUUAUGGAGCGUCUCCUGCAAGGGCUUCCGGGCGUGGUACCAUAUUUUGAUGACGUCUUGGUGUCCGCAGACUCACACCAGCAGCUGUUCGAGCGCCUCCGUGCCGUGCUGACCAGGUUCCAAGAGGCCGGGCUCAAGGUAAAGAGGGAGAAGUGCCAGAUUGCCGUUCCACAGGUAGAGUUCCUGGGCUAUCUUAUCAAUGCCUCCGGCCUUCACCCGACCACAUCCAAGAUCCGCGCUAUCCAGCAGGCCCCCAUCCCAAAGAACAAGACGGAGUUGCAGGCGUUCCUGGGGCUGCUGAACUUUUAUAACAUGUUCCUGCCCCACAAAGCCACGGUGGCUGAGUCUCUUCACCGACUCCUCAGCACAAAGACACCUUGGUCCUGGGGUCAUCGGGAGACGGCAGCCUUCAACGCGGUCAAGGCUCUCCUUUCAUCGGACCAUGUGCUGGUACAGUACAGUGAAUCCAGGCCGCUGGUCCUUGCCUGCGAUGCCUCACCUUUUGGCAUCGGCGCUGUCCUUAGUCACCGUUUUCCAGACGGAAGAGAAGCACCGCUCGCCUACUUUUCCAGGACGCUAUCUCCGACGGAACGGAAUUACAGCCAGCUCGACAAGGAGGCACUGGCACCUGUGGCUGGAGUGAAGAGGUUCCAUGAAUACCUCUAUGGCAGGACUUUUGACCUCAUCACUGACCACAAGCCGCUCCUGGGCCUCCUCGCCGGUGAUCGUCCAACUCCACCGGUCCUCUCGCCACGCAUGCUGCGAUGGACUGUUUUCCUGGCUGCCUACCACUACCGGCUCGUCCAUCGCUCAGGGAAAUCGAUGGGCCAUGCCGACGCCCUCAGCCGUUGUCCUCUUCCAGCGUUUGUGGAAGACCCGGCUCCAGCUUCAUCGCUCCUCCUGAUUGAGGAUCUUCCGGCAGCGCCUGUAUCGGCUGCCACUGUGGCCUCCGCAUCUGCCCAGGAUCGCACCAUCAGCCGUGUGCUCAACUGGGUGUGGAGGGGGUGGCCACAAGGGCCUUUUGCAUCGGAGUUUCAGCCCUUCGCAACCAGACAACAUGAACUCUCGGCUCAUCGCAGCUGUCUGCUGUGGGGAGACCGCGUUGUGAUUCCCCAAAGACUCCGUCAACGCGUCCUGGAGGCUCUGCACGUUGGCCACCCAGGAAUUGUCAAAAUGAAGGCGUUGGCUCGGUGUUACGUCUGGUGGCCUAACAUGGACGAUGCCAUCACUGCCUGGGUGUCCGCCUGUCAAGCGUGCCAAGAAUCGAGGCCUGCACCACCGGCAGCUAAGGGACACACCUGGGAGACGCCAAAGACACCCUGGUCAAGGGUGCACAUUGAUUUGGCCGGCCCCUUUCACGGCCGGACCUUUAUGGUAGUGGUGGACACCUAUUCCAAAUGGCUGGAGGUGGCCCUGAUGCCCUCCACCACUACCGAGGCUGUCAUCCGGGUGCUGCGAGGACUGUUUGCGACGCAUGGGUGUCCUGAUGUUCUUGUCUCCGACAACGGACCGCAGUUCACGUCAGGCACUUUUGAGCGGUAUCUUUUGGGACUGGGCAUCCGCCAUGCCCUAACGGCACCCUUUCAUCCAUCCAGCAACAGGCAAGCGGAGAGAAUGGUGCGCUCGGCAAAAGAGGCACUGGCAUGCCUGGACCGGGGAGACUGGCACGAGCGGGUCGCCGAAUACUUGUUCGUGCAACACAUCACCCCUCAUGCGACCACAGGACGGAGUCCUGCUGAACUGCUUAUGGGCCGCCGCCUCAGGUCACCGCUUGACCGGCUGCACCCGGACUUUGCCGUGGCUGAACCCCCAGGCUGUGCCAACGCGCCACGGUCAUUUGUUCCAGGAAACCAGGUCUUUGCCCGGAACUAUGUGGGGGACAUUCCUUGGGUGCCAGCCACAGUAGUGGGAGUCACUGGACCUCGCUCAUACCAGGUGGCACUCGAAGACGGAUGCUUGUGGCGCCGGCACAUAGACCAGCUUAGGCGCAGGGCUGGGGACUUGGACACUACCGUGGUGCCCCCAACUGCGCUUGUGGCUCCAGAAGAGACACUUACAGAUGGUGAGGCUCCACCUGUACCUCCCUCGCAAACUGCCAGUGUGGAGCCGAACCAAGCCGCUUCAGAGGGUCUGCCAGACUUACAACAGACUCAGACCACUCAACUUGCGGAGGCUCCACCUGCAGCAGCGGAUCCAGGGGAUUUGGUUUCAACGCCACCUAGGGUCGCACCACAGCCUCAGCAAGAAUUGGGUGGCCCCCCGGACUUGGCUACCAGUCCCCGGCGGUCUGGCAGAGUUUCCAAGCGCCCAACUUAUUUAAAGGACUAUGUUGUUGGACAUGUAUCACUGUUGGUCUAAGUAUGGGAAAUGUAACCGAUAUGCUUUUGUGCCUAAUUGAACCAUUAUGUGUAGUGCUGUAUAUAAGGAAACCAUUACGAUUGUAACUAACGUCUUAUCUCGGUGGGGAGGGGUGUUAUGUACUGAAGUUCUCACCCUGGGCCAGCAGGGGGAUAUUGUAGAUAGUUUUCACUCAGGUCCACGUCAGUUAUUUUAGGCGGGAAACCCUGGGUUGUUGUUGCUACAAUGUUGACAGCCAGCUGCCUAUAAAAGCAGGCCGGCUGAGCUGUUUGCUGCUCAGUUCUGUUCCAGCUUACAAAAUAAAGAGCUGCUUUAGAG